GUUUUAUAUAACUGUUCAUGGGGACCACCUCAUGGUUGCAGAUACAUAGUUUUACAGUGCUUCAUGAAAUAGUUGCAUAUCAUCAUGUCUAAAAGAAGAAUCAUGACGGACACAACUUCAAGAAAUUCUUCUUGUAAUAUAACAUAAUUUGUAUAUACCUCAUAGAGGAUGUAACUUGUUGGUUGCAUUUAAUAUUGUGACACACUCGCCAUCUUCUAUGCCAGCAUUAUUUGGGUGAUGAUUUAAUAUUCAAAAGCAUACAUCAAGGUAGUUAAGUGUAAUGAUAUUCUUGUGAAAAUAACUUCCAUAGUGUAUACUUGCAUAUAUGUAUUGUUCUAUUGUAUUCUCACAGUUAAUCAUUUUUCUUAUUUUUUUUGUUUAUUUACGUUUAGAGCAAGAUUAUAAAUUAAGCUGAGCAUAAUUUCUGCAGAUUAUAGAUGGCCCACUAAAAGACAAAGGACGAAGGCGCAAACUUCAACUAGUUUGUCGACAGGAGCACGAACAACCACAACUUCUACAAAGCUUCCACAUGGUUUCAUCUAGUAUCAUGCGAAAAACAUUGAGACAAUCAAGAUUACUUGAGCAACCUAAAUUAUGUUAGUUGUUACCUGCUUUCAAAUGAAUGUGUCCUCUCAUAGUAUGCAUGUACUUCUGUUGUUGAGGAAUUUAUAUCAUUAGACAGUUCUAUUAUUCAUAAUUAUUGAUUAA
Molecule: long non-coding RNA, 708 nt
Organism: Aegilops tauschii subsp. strangulata
Lineage: Eukaryota; Viridiplantae; Streptophyta; Magnoliopsida; Poales; Poaceae
Source: RefSeq, a predicted model, not a curated record